Non-coding RNA from Cerrena zonata, 89 nucleotides. Lineage: Eukaryota; Fungi; Basidiomycota; Agaricomycetes; Polyporales; Cerrenaceae. The record is from the annotation of a GenBank genome assembly.
UCCCUGGUAGGAUAUCGGUUAGUACACGCGCCUGUCAUUAUCCGUGUCAAAGGACGCGCGAAAGCGGGGUUCGACUCCCCGCCAGGGAG